This 498-nucleotide ribosomal RNA is filed under the name uncultured bacterium. RNAcentral describes it as "partial 16S ribosomal RNA". It matches the Rfam family "Bacterial small subunit ribosomal RNA", at positions 30 to 523 of the family's 1533-position model. The record is from RNAcentral.
AUUGAACGCUGGCGGCAUGCCUUACACAUGCAAGUCGAACGGUAACAGGUCUUCGGAUGCUGACGAGUGGCGAACGGGUGAGUAAUACAUCGGAACGUGCCUAGUAGUGGGGGAUAACUACUCGAAAGAGUGGCUAAUACCGCAUGAGAUCUACGGAUGAAAGCAGGGGAUCGCAAGACCUUGUGCUACUAGAGCGGCCGAUGGCAGAUUAGGUAGUUGGUGGGAUAAAAGCUUACCAAGCCGACGAUCUGUAGCUGGUCUGAGAGGACGAUCAGCCACACUGGGACUGCGACACGGCCCAGACUCCUCCGGGAGGCAGCAGUGGGGAAUUUUGGACAAUGGGCGAAAGCCUGAUCCAGCAAUGCCGCGUGCAGGAUGAAGGCCUUCGGGUUGUAAACUGCUUUUGUACGGAACGAAAAGCCCCGGGUUAAUACCCUGGGGUCAUGACGGUACCGUAAGAAUAAGCACCGGCUAACUACGUGCCAGCAGCCGCCGCCG